CAGAUUUGGACUGCAGACGGCUGAACAUCAGUGGACUAACUGCACCUCCUCAUGAAAUGAGAUGUCUGCAGUGCUCCUGCCCCCAGCAUCACCGAGACCAAAGUUAAUGUUGCAUUCAGAUGCCUCCCUGAUUGAACUGCAUGAUGGGUAAGUACCUGUCUGUACUUCUCAGCAUUGAGGAGACCUUUCAUUCUGACCAAAUCCCCAACACCAAAACUGCAGGACCCUCCACCAUGCUUCAUGCUGCCUGCCGACACUUAUUGUUCUUCUGCUCUCCAGCCCUUCAGAGAACAAUCUGCCUUCUGCUGCUGAGUUUCUUUUUCUCCUAUAAAAUCCCUGACUUUGUGCAAGUGUACCUUGAAGAACUGAUGCUUUUUGAAGGAGAAAAGUGUGUGACCCUGCCACCAGACAUUGAUUUGAUUUUUCAUAUGUGACUUUGCAUUUCUUUAAUUGAUAAAUAUAAUCUCUUAACAUGA
Molecule: long non-coding RNA, 476 nt
Organism: Micropterus dolomieu (smallmouth bass)
Lineage: Eukaryota; Metazoa; Chordata; Actinopteri; Centrarchiformes; Centrarchidae
Exons: 2
Source: RefSeq, a predicted model, not a curated record